This is a long non-coding RNA of Trifolium pratense (red clover), 342 nucleotides long. RefSeq lists it as uncharacterized. The record is from RefSeq and is a predicted model, not a curated record. The transcript has 3 exons. NCBI's taxonomy places the organism in Eukaryota, Viridiplantae, Streptophyta, Magnoliopsida, Fabales, Fabaceae.
AUGAUUGAUUGCUCAUGUUCGGAAUGUUCAGAAGAUUUGAAGGAGAACUUAGAGAAAACAUGAUUGAUUGUUCAUGUUCGAAAUGUGAGGAAGAUUUGAAGGAGAACUUAGGUGAGUUUUGUCAAUCCCUUGAAUAAUUUUCUAACUUAUCAGCUACACUCAAAACAAUGUCAACAAUGUUAUGAAGAAUGAUAUGUUGCUGAUUGGAAAAUGGUGUAUGUAUUGGUGCAAGUCAAGUAUAAUUUUUAAUUUAGUUUUAUAUGUAUAGUCCCAUUCAAUUUUUUUUUACAUAAUUGUUAUAUAUUAUUACUGUAAUUUUUAUUAAAUAUAUGACUAAUCUUU